CACGUAGUUAGCCGGUGCUUCUUUACCCAUUACCGUCACUCACGCUUCGUCACAGGCGAAAGCGGUUUACAACCCGAAGGCCGUCAUCCCGCACGCGGCGUUGCUGCAUCAGGCUUCCGCCCAUUGUGCAAUAUUCCCCACUGCCGCCUCCCGUAGGAGUCUGGGCCGUAUCUCAGUCCCAAUGUGGCCGGUCACCCUCUCAGGCCGGCUACCCGUCAAAGCCUUGGUAAGCCACUACCCCACCAACAAGCUGAUAAGCCGCGAGUCCAUCCCCAACCGCCGAAACUUUCCAACCCCCACCAUGCAGCAGGAGCUCCUAUCCGGUAUUAGCCCCAGUUUCCUGAAGUUAUCCCAAAGUCAAGGGCAGGUUACUCACGUGUUACUCACCCGUUCGCCACUCGAGCACCCCACAAAAGCAGGGCCUUUCCGUUCGACUUGCAUGUGUUAAGCACGCCGCCAGCGUUCGUCCUGAGCCAGGAUCAAACUCU
This 488-nucleotide ribosomal RNA is filed under the name uncultured Propionibacterium sp. RNAcentral's name for it is "partial 16S ribosomal RNA". Lineage: Bacteria; Bacillati; Actinomycetota; Actinomycetes; Propionibacteriales; Propionibacteriaceae. The record is from RNAcentral.